This 492-nucleotide ribosomal RNA is filed under the name uncultured bacterium. RNAcentral describes it as "partial 16S ribosomal RNA". It matches the Rfam family "Bacterial small subunit ribosomal RNA", at positions 29 to 507 of the family's 1533-position model. The record is from RNAcentral.
AGUGAACGCUGGCGGUAGGCCUAACACAUGCCAGUCGAACGGCAGCACAGUAAGAGCUUGCUCUUACGGGUGGCGAGUGGCGGACGGGUGAGGAAUACAUCGGAAUCUACUUUUUCGUGGGGGAUAACGUAGGGAAACUUACGCUAAUACCGCAUACGACCUACGGGUGAAAGCUGGGGAUCUUCGGACCUUGCGCGAUUGAAUGAGCCGAUGUCGGAUUAGCUAGUUGGCGGGGUAAAGGCCCACCAAGGCGACGAUCCGUAGCUGGUCUGAGAGGAUGAUCAGCCACACUGGAACUGAGACACGGUCCAGACUCCUACGGGAGGCAGCAGUGGGGAAUAUUGGACAAUGGGCGCAAGCCUGAUCCAGCCAUACCGCGUGGGUGAAGAAGGCCUUCGGGUUGUAAAGCCCUUUUGUUGGGAAAGAAAAGCAGCAGGUUAAUACCCCGCUGUUCUGACGGUACCCAAAGAAUAAGCACCGGCUAACUUCGUG